RNAcentral lists this ribosomal RNA (468 nucleotides) under uncultured bacterium. RNAcentral describes it as "partial 16S ribosomal RNA". The stretch from base 20 to 331 matches the Rfam family "Bacterial small subunit ribosomal RNA", at positions 47 to 358 of the family's 1533-position model. The record is from RNAcentral.
GACGAACGCUGGCGGCGUGCUUAACACAUGCAAGUCGAACGGAAAGGCCCUGCUUUUGUGGGGUGCUCGAGUGGCGAACGGGUGAGUAACACGUGAGUAACCUGCCCUUGACUUUGGGAUAACUUCAGGAAACUGGGGCUAAUACCGGAUAGGAGCUCCUGCUGCAUGGUGGGGGUUGGAAAGUUUCGGCGGUUGGGGAUGGACUCGCGGCUUAUCAGCUUGUUGGUGGGGUAGUGGCUUACCAAGGCUUUGACGGGUAGCCGGCCUGAGAGGGUGACCGGCAACUUUGGGACUGAGACAGGGCCCAACCCCGAGCGGGAGGAGGAGGGGGAGAUAAUGGAAAAAGGGGGGGAGGCCAGGGGCGACAACCGCGGGGGGGGAAGGGCGGCUGUGGGUGUGAAACCCGUUUGCGCCGGUGACAGGGGGGGAGUGAGGGAAAGGGAUAAGGAGACCCGGGAAAAAUACGUC